GUAAGUAGUUGAAAACCAUCUCUGUCUCACAUGCUCUGCUCUAGGACUCAUUUCUAUUCUUUGUUGUAUGCAUUAUUGCUUUUUGGAUGUUAGCAGGGACUGGGGAGGCAUAGCUGCAACUUGUCUUCAGAGUUCUAUAGGCAGGUGAGACCUCCAGGGACUACACCCUGAGAGCUGCUGCCUGACAUCCCUUUCUGGUGAGAUGAGAUAGAGGGACUAUGUGUAGAGAUAGCAUCCAUCUCAGCUUCCUUGGUCUGCUUCAAUGCCAUAAGCUAUGCUAAAUAAACUGCAGGUGAUCCAAGAAGCUCUACUCAAGCUUCACUGAGCAACGAUGACAUCCUGGCAUGCAAAGCUGGUCUUUGCUUGCAGUGGAAACAGUUCUCAUGAUUGUGCAAAAUCUUGUGUUUGGUGGAUAUAAUGAUAAUGAACUAAUUUGUGUCAACAGAUUUCUUUAUGACCUUGUUGUUUUUCCCUUUUCUUUUGCCCACCUUGUGCUUUCUUAAUUUGUAUGGAGGCAGGGGAGAGAAAUCCUAUUGAUAAGCACUUUGUCUGUAGAGCCAGGGCUCCAGUUAAGGCUAACAAACUCUAUGUUGCUCUGCCUGGGGACAAGAAUUCCCCAUGUGAAAAGCCUAACAUGAGAGAGUGGUUCUCUGGAGCUUAAUGGGAUGCAGUGCAUGUAUGAAGUCACUGAUGAACAUCAAUGUUUUCAGAAGCAAUUUUCAACAAGGAUCCAUCUUUUUGAAGGCAUACAAAAUGGAUUUCUCCUUUUUUAUUGCUUUUGAAUAUCCUACUGCAAGGCUGCUGCUCUUCAGUUGUGGAUGUAUGCUUGAGUUUAGAGUCAUUUUACUCCUCUUGAUCCUUCUCAUUCACAAGGACUCUGCCUAUUCAGGUGUGCCUCGGGUAAGCGAUGCUGAACAGCUGUGGUAAUCAUAUUAUGAGGCUGUGUUUUAACCUUUCUUUUAGCUCUUGUGUGCUGUGAGAAUUACAGCAAACUGGGCUGCGAUAGAAACGCUGCAAAAUGGAAGUUGAGAGGAGAACUUCUUCAGUAAAAGGAAAAGGGUAGGGGAAGGGUUGCAGGAGAGAAGGAGAUUUGAACAAAAUCUCCAGAUUCAGCCUCUAAAGAGGAGGGGUAGUGGAAGCUAAUGCAGUGAAAUGAGCUGUAACAAAGCCAUGCCAGGAAUUAUUCAGCUGUUCACAAGAAUUUUAGAAGAACUGUAAUUGGGAAAUGAUGUGAAUAUCAAACAAAAUGUCACUUGCUGGAAGCCUCACAAGGAGGGGGAAAUAAAAUGAUGAAAGUGCUGCAUUACAUGUCACCCUCUUAGGCACGCUCUGAAAGAGUUCCCUGCUCCCCACUUAGACCCUUUGACAUGCUAUUGUGUGGCUUUGUGUACUUCUGAGCGGGGUGGUUCUCUGCAGAAGAAAUUAAAAUGACGGGAAAGCUGGCUUGUCACAUUAAAUAACAUCACAUGCUUUUCUGCUGGGGAGAAAAACAGAAAGAAAUACUCUGCUGAGUUCCAGGAAAAUAGCUGCUGAGGAAAUGAGUGUGGCAACUCCGUCCCCUCACCUGGAAAGUAACAGUUGUGCCAGUAUGGGGAAGCACUGGCAGGGCUCAUGGCAGACCCGAGUUUCUGCUGUUUGCUGCAGACUUGAUGUCCACAUCACAGAUCUCUCUGGCUGUCCAUAAUGACCUUCCAGCCUAAAUGCUGGUUUUCUAUUUUACUUUCUUAACAUUUGAAGUGCAUUUCUAAAUACUGGGAAGAUUUGCCACCAGCAUUUCCUGCUUUUGUUUAUUGAUUUCUUCUUUUUCUCCAAAUUCCCUGCCUGUCCUUCUUUGGAAACAUGUCCUCUUGGAAGCACCAUCACGGCUGGAUUGCACCGUGAGGUCCCCAUGGUGUUCUCUUUGGCACUCACAGUAGUGUUUCCAUUUGGAUGACCUAUGUGUUCUUGGUCUCUUUGAUUUAGUGCAACCCUUUGUGCAGAAACACGGAGAAACAUCCCUCUACACAUAGAAAUGGAAUCAUUAAGGCUGGGAAGGACCACUAAGAUCAUCUAGUCCCACCAUCCACCUACCACCAAUAUUGCCCACUAAACCUUGUACCUAUGUACCACAUCCACAUGCUUCUUGAACACCUCCAGGGAUGGUGACUCUACCACCUCCCUGGGCAGCCUGUUCCAGUACCUCAUCACUCUUUCUGAGAAGAAAUUUUUCCAAACUAUCCAAUUUGAACCACACAUUGUGCAAUUUACAGCCAUCCCUUCUUGUCUUGUCUCAUGGAGACCAGGGCAGUCACUGAGCCCUGAGUUUGGGAAGAGGAGGAGGCAUUGGCCAGAUCUGCUCUGAGCUUUACCCAAGUGAAAGGAGAAGAUGAAAAGGUGGGGGAGAAGGGAGAAGGUGAGAACUCUGUGGAGGAGGUCACAAGGUCUGUGACUGAGAAGUCAUGAAAAGCGCUCCUAUUUUAGUUAGGAUUUCUCAGUGGUCUCUCUCUCAUAUCUGCAGUCACCAGGAUCUUAGAGGGUAAUAUGGCUUUCCUUUGGCUUUGGUGCUGGGGCUCUAUUGGGGAAAAGGUAUCUCAAUACAGUGCUGUAAAAAAGUGAGUUAUCAGAAAUAUAUAUAAAAAAUCAUAGUGACAAUCCAAACACUGUUACACACCCAUCAUGUUUAGGUGAUUUUUUAGGAAACUCUUCUGGCAAACAAUUUUAAGAGCUGGAAUAGGCAUUCCUAUCUUUCUCUAUAAACCACUUCGAAUAUUUACCAAUUUAUUUCUUAAGAUAAUGCUUCUAAAGAGCAAAACACUCAAAGCCCUCUUGCAUUUUUGCCUCACCUGCAUGUCUUCCCAUGUAGACCUGGGAGACACUUGCUAGCUUUAAAAGAAGGAAAAAGUAAAGAAAAGCACUAUCUUGCAGUGAGCUGUAGAGCCUGAGGCCUCAAAGUAAGAUUUUAAGAUUUCACUCUGGUUUCUCCUAAUCUGUCUUUGAAUGUGUUUUUCUGUUUGUUUUCUAUCUAUCUAUAUUUAACAUUUUGUUGCUAUUUCCAGUUAGAGAAGUGUUGUGUCUGAACAGGGACACAGUUACCACAAAACAUGUGCGCAAGCACAGGACUGUGAGUGGACACAGCUCUGUACUUGGCUGCUGGUGUUGGUUUAUGUAGCAGCAGGGGUACAUAUAUAACCUCAAAGCAGGUGUGGUGGAGCAUUCUGCAUGGUUAAACCCAAGCUGUAAUUCCCAGCUGAAGUAUCAGAGGGGAGGUGGUCAGAAGGAGAUGGAGUAGCUCUGGGAAGUGAAUUGGUCUGUCAUUACAUCAAAGGAGGGUCAGACUGGGGAUUAGGAAAAGGUUCUUCACCAGAGGGUGGUCAGGCAUGGAACAGGCUCUCCAGAGCAAUGGGCAUGGCACCAAGCUGCCGGAGUUCAGGAAGUGUCUAGACAACAAUUUCAGACAUAAGGAUUGUUUGGGUGGUGAGACACUGGAACAGGUUGCCCAGCGAGGUUGUGGAUGUCCUCUUCCUGGAAGCAUUCAAGGCCAGGCUGGAUGGGACUUUGAGCAACGUGGUCUAGUGCAAGAUGUCACUGCUUAUAGAAGGGUGGUUGGAACUAGAUGAUCCUAAAGGUCCCUUCCAUCCCAAACCAUUCUAUGGUUCUUGGUUGGCCCUGUGAGGAGCCAAGAGUUGAACUCAGUGAUCCCUAAGGGUCCCUUCCAUUUUGAGAUGUUCUGUGCUUAGCGUGGAUAUUUGGAUCCCAAAAAGGGAUGCCCAGUCUAAGGGUGCUGAAGAGUAAUUUUGCAUGUAAAAGACCCGAAGAAAUAGUUUAUUCAGGGAAUAAGCACAAGCUGGUAGAAAAAAAAAAAGAACAUGCGGUAUGUGGUGCUGGUCAGCAUUAGCAGACAGCCUCAACUUCCUCAACUUGAGGAAGCUGCAGCCAGCAAGGAGCAGCAAGGCCAAUGGUCUCUCACUUUGCUUAUGUCACGCGUUGUUUAUCAAGGAAUGCAAAGCAGUGGUGCUAGAUCUUCAUGUUAUGACUCACUAACAUACACUCCAGCAGACCUUCACCCAGAAUCUUUGCCUGGGUAGUGCCCAUUUUCCCAUCCAUUAAAUUUUUUCUGUGGUUUUUUUUUUUUUUUAUUUUUUAUUUUUAUUUUUUUUUUAUUGCAGUGGUUGAUCCCUGUGGCUGAGAGCAAACCGUCAGGAUUUCAGAGAUGAGGAAGCAAACCUUCCCCAGCCACUGAGCAUUUGAAUGCGUGGGCACCACUGGACGAAGUGAAUAUUGUCACUGAGGAAGGCUUUGGACUGUGGGACCAGGUCCCAUUGAUUUAGAAUGAAAGCAUAAUACAGGCUUCAAGCCAUCUCUAAGUGUUUGGCAGCCCAUGCCUGACCGAGGAAAUAAGCACUCAGAUGACUGCUUCAGUGGGUGCCCAAGAAAACAGCAGGAUAAACUAACAAAAUGAAGGAGGGCUGUAUAGUGAAAGUGUUUGUUGUCUGGAGGACUCUGGCUUCGCUUGCUGAAGAAGGCUGAAAAUGCAUAAUGAAUGAGACAGGAUACUCCAGAAAGCCAUAAAAUGGUCUCAGAGGGCAUGUUUGAUACCUCUGUGGGGAGCUAGGUUCUGUAUCUUGCUCAGCCACAGGCUUGGUUCCUAUCCCUUGAACAGAAAAGUUUACCAUACCAUGCAUGCUUCUCAGCUUCUCAUUUUUUGUAUGUGCAAGGCACGGCAGAUGGGACUAUUUUUUUAGAGAGGUGUUACCUGCAGAUGAAGUGACCGCAGCUUUGCCUAUGGAAUGAGAUAUAAAAAAGCUCAGAGUUCUAUAAAAUGAACCAGGAUCUAAGCCUGGGUAUUAAAAAUUCAUAGAUGUUUUUCAUAGGUCUAUACUGAAAUUUCCUCCGUGUUGGUACUUUGUGUGCAACAUGAGGGCAGUAAUUCCUAAGUGUCUUAGCCAAACUGUAGAGGAAUCCUUAAUAUUUUGGAGGUACAAGAUGUUGCAGUGGAAAUAUUUGUGAGGAAAACACAAAUUUUAUGCUCGAGGAAGCAAGAUUUGGAAGGCAUGAGGUAAAUAAGGAUAAGUAAUGUGUAUUAUAGCAGCAUGCUAAAAAUAAACAGAAAUAUUUAGCCAUUCACUGAGGAAGACAAGGACGUUGUAUAAAAAUAUAGUCUACAAUCAUGUAAUUAAAGCCUGCAUUGUAAUUUGAAGAAGCUGAAGUAAAGGAGCUGUGUGGGUGGCUUUAGCUCUGUUGUCUUUGUCACUGAGUUUCUGCUUUAAUAGGUAGCUUUUCAGAUGUUGUUGGAUAUGUGACAGCGUGGUAAUAACUUCCACAACACAAGUUUAACAGUGCUCUGAAAGCAAAUAUCUUGCUUUGAAACAGGUACAUUUCACUGGACAAAAUCCUCUCUUUCAUCUCAGUGCUCCUCUAUUCUCUUCACUCCCUUCUUUGGAGAAAAGAAGGCUCCAGGGAGACCUCAUUGUGGCCUUCCAAUAUUUGAAGGGAGCCUACAAACAAGAGGGGGUAUGUCUGUUUACAAAGGUGGAUAGUCAUAGGACAAGGGGGUUUUAGAGUCUCAGUUUUAAACUGAGAUGGGGGAGGUUUAGCUUAGAUAUUAGGAGAAAGUUUUUCACUCAGAGGAUGGUGACGCACUGGAACAGGUUGUCCAAGGAGGUUGUGGAUGCCCCAUCCCUGAAGGCACUAAAGGCCAGGCUAGUGGUCUGGUAGACCCUGCACAUAGCAGGGGGUUGAAACUAGAUGAUCUUUGAGGUCCUUUUCAACCUAGGCCAUUCUAUGAUUCUCCUGUUGCCACCUCCAUGGGACACCACGCGAGGGCCAGCAGCCUUUGGUUGGCCACAGGUCCUUCUGACACCUGUGACCAGGCAUUGGAGGUUCCCUGCCUCAUCUCUGUAUCUCACAGCUCCUGGAGUGGGCUGUGACAUAAAUUCCUUGCAGGGAGUACGGUGUGAUGAGGAAGCUGUGCUGGCCACCCCACUCAGCCCCACUGCCAUACCGUCUGUGGCAACAAUGGUGUGCGGUUGCAGGAGGCAGUGAUGCUGAAUGCAGGAAACCUGACGACGGUAUAUUUUACAGCAUGGCAGCUGUAACGCAGGAUCGUAAGAAACGUUUGCAUUUUGAAAUGCUUUAUCUUCCAUUUAAGGGAUAGUGUUUCUGGCAGGGAAAGAAUAUAUAAGGGUAUUAAAUGGCUUUCUUUGCAGGCAAUUAAACAAGGAAGCCGAUCAAAGACAUUUAAAUAAUUGUAACAGAUGUUUAUUGCCUGAUGCAGUUUACUGCAUCCUAUUAUUUCUGUUACAUACAGGAGAGAAGAACACAUGGCAAACUGUACCGCAAAAGAAAUUCUUUACUGCCUUGUGAGGAACGUGGCUGCUUCUCUGCCUUCUUAAUUGUAUCAUGUUGAGAACAAGUCAGUAAUAAGUAGUGUUUGGAGGGCAGAGAAGUGGCUUACUGCCUGGAGGAGCAGCAGCAAGUGGUGUGCAAAGACAUGGGGUUGAUGGUAAACACCUUUGAGACAACAGACUGCUGUGGGAUUGCUUCAAGAGUGAUGCUCAGCUCACUCACAUUAGGAAUUUCAGUUCCUCCUGAAGUUAUGCAGUUAGUACUGAGAGGGACAUCCUGGCUCAGGACAAAAGUGUUGGUGGCACUGUAAUCCUCAGUGACAUCUGGGAAUGGCCUCAGGUGGGCAACUAGGCAUCAAUAAAAGGCAAGCAUGUGACAACUCCCCCAGAUACUCCUCAAACAUUUUUGUUGUAGGGCCAGAUGUGUUUUCUUUGUCGUUAAUAACAUAAUAACAUACUUUAGUACUGUGUGUUUAAUUCUAUGUAUUUAAAAACAGAUUUUUCUUGCCUUGAAUUUAAGUGUUCAGAAUAGCCUAUGUAGGACAGUAAGUACCCUAGAGGAACCCAUGAGCUUUUCAUCACCAAUUAAAAGAAAGGGAUGUUUGUUUCCCUAAACAAUAACAAAAAAUUCUAACAAUGAUACUCCUCCCAAUCCCAAAUCCCCAUACAAAAGCCUAUAAACAUUCAAAAUCUAGGCUAGUGUCCCUCCACUUGUUUUAUCCUUGGCUUUGACUAAAAUCUGAGGCUUUUUCAGCAAACAUCUCAUAUUUUCAAAUUCAGUAAUGACUUCAUACAUCCUACUAAUAGAAAAAAAGACUUAUUGCCAUCAUUUCAGAACACAACUGGAAUAUUCAAUAUUCCCCAUCUCCCUUCCUCCCUCUUGCUGAAAGAGGAAGACUUCAGGGAGACUCUUUCUCAGAAGGAAUAACAAUUAUUUGAUGUGUUAUUCUUCCUCUACAGAUCACACCUCUCAUCUGGGGCAGAUCUUUUCUCCUCCUUGUGUCCUGACAUCAUCAUAGGCAGCAAAGUCUGCAUUAAAGACAUGAACUAAUGACACAGGCACUGCACUCUAAGAGGUGGUUCCUUCAUGGGCAAUCCACAUUGAGGUGAUGCACAGCAGGGAAGGGAGCUGGCUCCAGCACCCAUCAGGAACUGCUGAAAGGUACUCUUGCUCCUGGGUUGUCAACACAAGAUUUAGUGUGAGUUCCUGAAAGUGUCUUAACAGGCAUAGAAAGCACUGAUUCCCUCAAGUCUGCAGAAACAUGAUGCACAGCAACCAUUAGCACUGGCUUACAUUGCAGAACAAAUUCUGUGGCAGGAUGAGCCAGGUGCUAUGAUAGCUAUGAAAUAGCUAUGAAAUAGCCAUGAUGCUAUUUCAUCUGAGUGAGAGAGGGAAUGAAUUUGGGUCCUGGGGAAGCAUAGAAAGUGGAUGUUAUGCAACUCCUGAAAGAAUCAAGAGCUGUGGCUGUAGCAACUGCCAAUAAAUAUACUCAAGUACUACUCUGCUGGGAAUAUCUACAUGAGGCAUGAAGUGUGCUUACACCAAAUUACCUGAGGACCGCAUGAUGUCAGUCACAAGGAAAACAAUGCUGUGGGUCUUGUAGAUGGUCCUCAGCCUUGCUAUGACAAGAAGGUGCUGAGUGUUUGAAUGGCUCCCAUCCACUGUGAUUGCAUGAAGACAGGUGGGUCUCUGGCCAUGCCUACUCUCAACCUGCAUGGCAUGUUGUCUGACACUGGUAAGGAGUAUCUAAAAUCUACAUGAGGCAAUCAACAUCAUUUUGUGGACAAUUUUACAUUUGAAAGCAUCUCUCUGGAGCUGUUUGUCUUCAAAACAGAGAGCCCAGGAGUGUUUAUUGCCUGUAGGCUUGGCCUGGGAGAAAAUGAAACCAGCUUGAUACUGGAGACUGGGAAAUGAUACCAUUGUAUCCUGUGAAGGCAAGAUGCAAGCUGGCAUCUCCCUGCUUCCUCUCAUCUGUAACUCCAGAAGAACUGUCUUGGACACUUUGGACUAAAAUGUUUCAAUGCUUUCAGCUCAGAGCAGCAUUUGGAGACCAAGUUUUUCUUCUGGUAAAACAUAAACUACAGCACAGAAAUAGAAGUAAAACAUUUGUUUGCUCAGCUCUAGUAACGUGGUGCCGAGGCAUGCCCGCAGGAUAAAUACCACUGGGUGGGAGAUGGGUAGGGAAAGGAGGAAGGUGAGCAAAGGAGAAUCAGUCCACCCCAGCAGUGGGAUGAGGAUCAUCAUCUCCACUUCUCAGCACAAACAGAUUUUACUAAACUUCCUGUAAGUUUGUCAAGAGUCCUCUUAGUGGUCUUUGACCUUCUGCUUGUCCUGGCCAUCUUAGAGUGUAGGAGCUCAACAAAAUCUCUCUCCUCUGCUUCCUGACUACUCAAGGCAUCCUUCCUGGAAAGAAUGAAUCACUCCCCAAGUGUCAUAGGAAAGACCAUAAGCUUUCCUUAAAGCUAAAGAAAUUCCAGUGUAAUUUCUCAGCUCCAGUGUGGGUCACUCCCUGGCACACCAGCGGCUUUCUUCAUGAACAGAAACCACUCUGCAUAAAUUGCGAUGGCAGAAAUGGGCCCGAGCAAACAAAGACAAUAUGAAUUUGGCUAAAUAAUGUAGAGACAUAAAUUUAAGGACAAAGGUGAACUGAAAAGCCUCCCAUCAGAGGUUGUCUGCACCUGCCCAUGCCAGCUCCAAAGGGGACUCUGCACCAGGGUGUCUUGCCCUUGGUCAGCUUUUCAGCUACACCCAACAAAAUCCUGUACUUCUGGAGCAUACCAGAGCAUUCCCACUUGCAGCUCCUUACCAAGUGAUAUGUGCAGAUCCCACCUUUGCCAAAUCCACUGCAAAUGUUUCCUGUUGAGACCCAGAGUCUCUCUUGGAGGCCCUGGGCCAGCUCUGGGGUCCACCUCACUGAUUGAACUCAGUGGGGUCACCCUGAGGACCAGCAGAUGGUAUCUGGCUUUUAGCUUCCUUCCAAUCUACCGUUGUCACAACUUGAAAACAAGCUAAAAACUGCUUUUCAUAAUUUCUUUCUUAGGCAAAACUCUUAGCAACAACCUUUUUGUGUGUUAGAAGGCAAUAAUCAAAUCACUCUGGCCUUUUGCUGAAGCAGAACAAAUCCAUGGCUGUGUUCCCAGCUGUAAACAAAGGUGCUGCCUCACAUUUCCCCAAGAAAAGAAGCGACUUCUACAAACGAUCACUAGAUGGCUACACUACCGCACAGGAUUUCAUAGCUCCGUUUUUCCAGACCUUCAAACCAUUUUUCACGGCCCUCGUUGUCUGUAAUAUCUUUGGUCUGAAUUGCAUUUCAGCCACAAAAUGCGAUUUCCAUAUCUUCAAUUUUCUUCUCAGCGUGUUGCAAUAUAAUUCUCCACCAUUCAAAUUUAUUGUACAAAAAAAGUCACUAGGGCUUAAAUGGCGUCUAACCUCUGAAGCGUCAGGUAUUGUCCGCCACUGGAAACAACAUCCUGGGCUACAUGCCCCAUUGGUUUGAUC
RNAcentral lists this long non-coding RNA (9822 nucleotides) under Gallus gallus (chicken). RNAcentral describes it as "lncRNA (ENSGALG00010008992.1)". Lineage: Eukaryota; Metazoa; Chordata; Aves; Galliformes; Phasianidae. The record is from RNAcentral.